Molecule: RNase P RNA, 326 nt
Filed under: pig gut metagenome
Description: Bacterial RNase P class A
Rfam family: Bacterial RNase P class A
About the family: Ribonuclease P (RNase P) is a ubiquitous endoribonuclease, found in archaea, bacteria and eukarya as well as chloroplasts and mitochondria.
Source: RNAcentral
AGAUAGCCAGACGGUUGCGGUGGGGUAACCCAACGAGGAAAGUCCGAGCACCACAGGGCAGAGCGCCGGAGAAAUCCCGGUGAAGGUGACUUUAAGGAAAGUGCAACAGAAAUAAACCGCCUGCCGUUUACGGCAGGUAAGGGUGGAAAUGCGGAGUAAGAGCCCACAAACGCUAUGGUAACACAGCGUUCAUGUAAACCCCGCUCGGUGCAAGAAGUGAGAUCAAACGUUUGCCCGACGUCUCGAUAUGUCGCUGGAGCCUUGCGGAGACGUAAGGCGUAGAUAGAUAACCGUCAAAUACAGAACUCGGCUUACAGACUAUCUCA